This 398-nucleotide ribosomal RNA is filed under the name Ventrifissuridae sp. Its description in RNAcentral is "partial small subunit ribosomal RNA". It matches the Rfam family "Eukaryotic small subunit ribosomal RNA", at positions 582 to 975 of the family's 1831-position model. Lineage: Eukaryota; Cercozoa; Thecofilosea; Ventricleftida; Ventrifissuridae. The record is from RNAcentral.
AUUCCAGCUCCAGUAGCGUAUAUUAAAGUUGUUGCAGUUAAAAAGCUCGUAGUUGGAUUUCUGGUACGCUGCGCCUGAGCCGCCUGCUUUAAGCAUGGUGUGUCUCGGAGCGCGGUUGCCAUCCUUCUAGAAAACGUUUCUAUCCUUCGCUGGACCGGAUUCGCAAUCUAGAUCUUUUACUUUGAAAAAAUUAGAGUGUUUAAAGCAGGCUUAUGCUAUGAAUACAUUAGCAUGGAAUAAUAAUAUAGGACUUUGGUUCUAUUUUGUUGGUUUCUAGAACUAAAGUAAUGAUUGAUAGGGAUAGUUGGGGGUGCUAGUAUUCAGCGGCCAGAGGUGAAAUUCUUGGAUUCGCUGAAGACUAACUUAUGCGAAAGCAUUCACCAAGGAUGUCUUCAUUA